This 393-nucleotide ribosomal RNA is filed under the name uncultured bacterium. RNAcentral describes it as "partial 16S ribosomal RNA". It matches the Rfam family "Bacterial small subunit ribosomal RNA", at positions 523 to 918 of the family's 1533-position model. The record is from RNAcentral.
AUACGUAGGAUGCGAGCGUUAUCCGGAUUUAUUGGGUUUAAAGGGUGCGUAGGCGGGCUGUCAAGUCUGUGGUGAAAAGUCAGGGCUUAACCUUGAUCGUGCCGCGGAAACUGACGGUCUUGAAUAGGGAUGCCGUUGGCGGAAUGUGGAGUGUAGCGGUGAAAUGCAUAGAUAUUCCACAGAACACCGAUUGCGAAGGCAGCUGACGAAUCCCCGAUUGACGCUGAGGCACGAAAGCGUGGGGAUCAAACAGGAUUAGAUACCCUGGUAGUCCACGCAGUAAACGAUGAUGGCUAACCGCUGGAUCCGUCGGUUCGGUGGCCAAGCGAAAGCGAUAAGCCAUCCACCUGGGGAGUACGACCGCAAGGUUGAAACUCAAAUGAAUUGACGGGG